Molecule: ribosomal RNA, 469 nt
Filed under: uncultured bacterium
Lineage: Bacteria
Description: partial 16S ribosomal RNA
Rfam family: Bacterial small subunit ribosomal RNA
Source: RNAcentral
GAUGAACGCUGGCGGCGUGCUUAACACAUGCAAGUCGAACGGUGAACACGGAGCUUGCUCUGUGGGAUCAGUGGCGAACGGGUGAGUAACACGUGAGCAACCUGCCCCUGACUCUGGGAUAAGCGCUGGAAACGGCGUCUAAUACUGGAUAUGUGACGUGACCGCAUGGUCUGCGUUUGGAAAGAUUUUUCGGUUGGGGAUGGGCUCGCGGCCUAUCAGCUUGUUGGUGAGGUAAUGGCUCACCAAGGCGUCGACGGGUAGCCGGCCUGAGAGGGUGACCGGCCACACUGGGAUUGAGACACGGCCCAGACUCCUACGGGAGGCAGCAGUGGGGAAUAUUGCACAAUGGGCGAAAGCCUGAUGCAGCAACGCCGCGUGAGGGAUGACGGCCUUCGGGUUGUAAACCUUUUUUAGCAGUGAAGAAGCGAAAGUGACGGUACCUGCAGAAAAAGCGCCGGCUAACUACGUG